GAGAUACACAUACAUGUGACAUAUGCAGGCGUGUGAGAUACACAUACAUGUGACAUAUGCAGGCGUGAGACAUACAUACCUGUGGUGUAUGCAGGUGUGAGACACAUACAUGUGACUUAUGCAGGCGUGUGAGACACAUACAUGUGACAUAUGCAGGCGUGUGAGACACACAUACAUGUGACAUAUGCAGGCGUGACAUACAUACCUGUGGUGUAUGCAGGUGUGUGAUACACAUACAUGUGACAUAUGCAGGCGUGUGACAUACAUACCUGUGGUGUAUGCAGGCGUGUGAGAUACACAUACAUGUGACGUAUGCAGGCAUGUGACAUACAUACCUGUGGUCCACACCUGUCUGCACACGCCUCCUGUUACUGAUGGUUAACUCAGUGGCUGGCACACUCACCACCUUCUCACUGUGGCUGGCAACAAGCUGCUGUUCUGCACCAGGACCUCCUCUCAGGCUCCCAGCAAAGGAGGCCGGCAGCUUUGACACGAGGGUCCGGGAGCCGUGGCUCCUCCAGGUUAGUGGUGCACACAGCGCUUGCCACACCGCCCACUGCCUCACUCCGUGCUGUGCCUGGUGCUGCGUGGGUCCUGAGGCUCCUGCUCCUGACCCUGGUGCCGCUGGGACAGAGUCCAGGUGGGAGGGCAGUGUGUGGUGUGUGUGUGGCCAGUCCCCAGGGACAGGACGCCCGAG
This 697-nucleotide long non-coding RNA is filed under the name Homo sapiens (human). Its description in RNAcentral is "non-protein coding lnc-SLC22A31-8:4". The record is from RNAcentral. Lineage: Eukaryota; Metazoa; Chordata; Mammalia; Primates; Hominidae.